UCGUCCUUACGUUGUGCAUUUCAAUUGUGUGUGGAAAUUGACAUGGAAAAUCCAACUUUUCCAAGUUUCGAUUUAUUCAAUAAUUAUUUUUCGCUUUAUUUUUCAAACCAAGACAAUUGCUUAAACUUGAGGAAAUAAAUCGAAUGAUACAGCUAGCUCAACAAUGGUGUAUACCGCUAUAUUCGGGAUUUUUUAAAGAUACUGGGAUUUAGAGGCUACCACUCUAACCACUAAACCACUGGACCCGGCACGUGAAGGUGGGCCUAGGAGGUCAAAUUAAGAAGUCCAAUUUUCGAGUGGUUCCAUAGCCUUUCCUCAGUAAAAAUCCAUAUAACGACGAGGCAGUGUAAUAAUGAAUUUCAUUUAAGCAAAAUUUGUUUGUGUGAUUCAUAUUUGUACCGAUUUUAUUUCAAAUAGGCUUUCCCGAUUUCUCAAAAAGCUAUGCAAAUUGGUGCUUGUGCUAAUUUUCCUACUAUUAUAUACCAAACGAACUUGAACGGUGGCGCGCAAAUACACAGAAUUUCCCCUCCAGGGGAAAAUGAUCCGAAGUUAAACCGUUGCCUGGCAACCCCCGAUGGUGGCGUCGGUCGCUAGGAUGCUGAAACCUGCUGCAACUUGGGAAGAAAAAGUUCUUUCUGGUGGACGGACUCACUUUACGUGCCCCGCCGUAGAAACAUCUCGUUUGCUGUUGUGACAAAGACUACCUGUGUUGUUAGAUUUUUUUUUCUUCUGCAAUCUAUUGGUAUAGCGAGUGGAACUGGUGCAUGUAAAUAAAAAUGAUGAUAAUUUAGUGCAA
This is a long non-coding RNA of Culex pipiens pallens (northern house mosquito), 796 nucleotides long. RefSeq lists it as uncharacterized. NCBI's taxonomy places the organism in Eukaryota, Metazoa, Arthropoda, Insecta, Diptera, Culicidae. The record is from RefSeq and is a predicted model, not a curated record. The transcript is spliced from 2 exons.